Molecule: ribosomal RNA, 393 nt
Filed under: Triticum aestivum (bread wheat)
Lineage: Eukaryota; Viridiplantae; Streptophyta; Magnoliopsida; Poales; Poaceae
Description: partial small subunit ribosomal RNA
Source: RNAcentral
AUGAUGAUGGUAUGGCUUCAUACAUCGACAGAUCAAUCGGAGCACGGCAACAUAUACAAUGUCCAGACACAAACAAUAUUCCAUCAUGAUGCUGUGAUGGGUUUCCCUGAUGCUGCUAUGAUUCCACCAGUGCACGGGCGAGGAGUACCUGCCUGGAGUACAGCAUGGCGGGGGAGCAGUGAGGAACAGGCUGGGCAGCGCGGCGGCCAAGAUGUGGUUGAGAGGACCAGGCCGGUGCGGCGAGGACCAAAUUGGGAGCGCAGAGGCGGCGGCCAGGCUGGGGCGGAGGCGACCAAAUUGGGAGCGGAGGCGACCAAAUUGGGAGCGGCGGCGACCAAACUGGGCGAGGACGAGCACCUGGACAGCGGGGAAGAGCCUGGCGGAGGGGCCUGA